UUAGCGAGUGCAUGCUGGGAGCUCCAGGCUUCAGGAAGACUGUCAACACAAACACUAACUGCAUAUCAGCCUUUCUUGCAAGUUUGCAGUUAGUUUCAGUUCAUGUUUGCAUUCCUAUUCAUCUCAGUGGCACAGUUAGGCUUACUGUAUGUGAAAUGAAAUCUGCCAUCUUGUUAUGAACUGAUGAACGUGAACACAGUCUCAAACCUUCAGCAGUAUGAUGCCAACAAAAGCAGACGGGAAACGAUUAGUGUUCUGCGCCUGUGGUUUGCGUUUCCUCACUGAACUCUCUGCUGCCCCCUCUGACGGAGACUGAUCGCUGCCAGUGGCCGCUCCGUCGCUCAUCGCUCCUUCCUCUUCGGUCGACUCGUCUCCAGACACUCGUUCGCUCUCGUUGUCCAGGAACCACCCACCGGAUCCUCAAAAGAGCCGCAGAAUCGACCAGUGUUACACAACUCGCCGUUGUAUAAUGCCGAGUAUCAGUCCCAUAAAGAGCGUAAUGAUGGCAAAAAUCACAUAAGAGCCCCAGGAAGGGAUACCGAGCGUAUUCGUCAGACAGAAGAGGUUGUAUUUACAGAAGAGAGGAUGGCGACUUCCAUCCUGGCACCGGCUCAACCAUCGCCCACUUUUUCUGCUCAACAUACGCCUGGAUCUCCUCAAUGACCUGCAGAACAAAAGAAGAGGACGGAUAUAUUGAUGCAGAAACACAGAGAGAAGAGCGAGCACAUCCUAUACCGGCCAAAGAAAUCCCUUCGGCAUGGGAAGGCGCUGAGAUUUCCACAGAAACACAUGAGAGAGACGCCAUUCAAGCCCCGUUGCAGGUGGAAGCACAGGACAACAGACUCCGCGUCACCUGCAUCAUUAGCCGCUUGAAUGCAAUCUUUGCUUGCAUUCAAAAUGCAAUUAGCGUUCAAAGGGAAUGGUCUAAACGGGUCUGGAUCUAAUGGUAUUAAUAAUAAAGGCUUUCAUCUGCUUGUGAUGUCACUCAAUGGCACACAUCAAAUAUAGCUGAUAAUAACUACAGGAGGAAUUUAAAUGAGUGAUGUUAAGUCUAAUUCCUUUUAAAGUCCCACAGUAGUUCAUUCGAGCCACAUGACUAAACUUAAAGAGCUCUGUGUGCAAACAAUCCAGCAGUGUUUGAUAUAAAUGCCAGACACACUGCUGUUGAUCAGACUGGACGCAAACACAACGUUCAUGCUAUUGAUAGUAUCUUACGCGCAUAAUUAUUUGCAACGGCUUUGAAUGUGCCACAUCCUGUUUUACCAUAUUAGCGUCACUGUUGAAGUCUUGUUUUAACUUGGAUGUUGCAUAAUGAGAAGAUGUUUUUGCACUGAUCUCAGACCAAUCGUAUCCAUCAAGUUCCAAAUAAAAUAACAAAUUAUAAAAAAAACACAAGCAUUUCAUUCACUUGCUUUGACAAAACAUAUGUAUUACCAUAUAUCAUUAUUUAAAAUGCAACAUAUAAACCAGUAACUAUUGUGAUAUAUAAAAAGUG
This is a long non-coding RNA of Onychostoma macrolepis, 1495 nucleotides long. RefSeq lists it as uncharacterized. NCBI's taxonomy places the organism in Eukaryota, Metazoa, Chordata, Actinopteri, Cypriniformes, Cyprinidae. The record is from RefSeq and is a predicted model, not a curated record. The transcript has 7 exons.